Molecule: non-coding RNA, 45 nt
Filed under: Schistosoma margrebowiei
Lineage: Eukaryota; Metazoa; Platyhelminthes; Trematoda; Strigeidida; Schistosomatidae
Source: RNAcentral
AUCUAACUGACGAGUCCCAAAUAGGACGAAAUGCACAUCCUGGAU